CCCUUAGAUGUCCUGGGCCGCACGCGCGCUACACUGAACGGAUCAGCGCGUUUUCCCUUCCCGAGAGGGACGGGUAACCUGCUGAACCCCGUUCGUGGUAGGGAUCGGGGCUAGCAAUUAUUCCCCGUGAACCAGGAAUGCCCAGUAAGUGCAAGUCAUAAGCUUGCGUUGAUUACGUCCCUGCCCUUUGUACACACCGCCCGUCGCUACUACCGAUUGAACGUUUUAGUGAGGUACUCGGACUGAGCCUCAGAAGAUUCACGUCUUUUGUGCUGCUCGGGAAGAUUCCCAAACUUGAGCGUUUAGAGGAAGUAAAAGUCGUANCA
This 326-nucleotide ribosomal RNA is filed under the name uncultured eukaryote. RNAcentral's name for it is "partial 18S ribosomal RNA". It matches the Rfam family "Eukaryotic small subunit ribosomal RNA", at positions 1470 to 1796 of the family's 1831-position model. The record is from RNAcentral.